This 263-nucleotide ribosomal RNA is filed under the name uncultured bacterium. RNAcentral describes it as "partial 16S ribosomal RNA". It matches the Rfam family "Bacterial small subunit ribosomal RNA", at positions 524 to 786 of the family's 1533-position model. The record is from RNAcentral.
AACGUAGGGGGCGAGCGUUGUCCGGAAUUACUGGGCGUAAAGCGCGUGUAGGCGGGUUUAUAAGUCGGGUGUGAAAACCCUGGGCUCAACCCAGGGACUGCAUCCGAAACUGUAGAUCUUGAGGGCGGGAGAGGAAAGUGGAAUUCCUAGUGUAGCGGUGAAAUGCGUAGAUAUUAGGAGGAACACCAGUGGCGAAGGCGGCUUUCUGGCCCGAACCUGACGCUGAGACGCGAAAGCGUGGGGAGCAAACAGGAUUAGAUACC